CAUACCUAUUCGAAGGGAUAGGGUCGGUUUGGCCGGAUUUCACACAGGUGUUGCAUGGCUGUCGUCAGCUCGUGUCGUGAGAUGUUGGGUUAAGUCCCGCAACGAGCGCAACCCUCAUCCUUAGUUACCAUCAGGUUAUGCUGGGGACUUUAAGGAAACUGCCAGUGAUAAACUGGAGGAAGGUGGGGAUGAUGUCAAGUCAUCAUGGCCCUUAUGGAGUGGGCUACACACGUGCUACAAUGGUGAUUACAAUGGACUGCAAGGUCGCAAGGCUGAGCUAAUCCUAAAAAAUCAUCUCAGUUCGGAUUGUUCUCUGCAACUCGAGAGCAUGAAGUUGGAAUCGCUAGUAAUCGUGGAUCAGCAUGCCACGGUGAAUACGUUCUCGGGUCUUGUACACACUGCCCGUCACGCCAUGGGAAUUGGUUUCACUCGAAGCU
RNAcentral lists this ribosomal RNA (437 nucleotides) under Wolbachia endosymbiont of Sinochaitophorus maoi. RNAcentral's name for it is "bacterial SSU rRNA". It matches the Rfam family "Bacterial small subunit ribosomal RNA", at positions 992 to 1428 of the family's 1533-position model. The record is from RNAcentral. Lineage: Bacteria; Pseudomonadati; Pseudomonadota; Alphaproteobacteria; Rickettsiales; Anaplasmataceae.